This 77-nucleotide transfer RNA is filed under the name Bdellovibrionales bacterium. Its description in RNAcentral is "tRNA-Pro". It matches the Rfam family "tRNA". Rfam says of the family: Transfer RNA (tRNA) molecules are approximately 80 nucleotides in length. Their secondary structure includes four short double-helical elements and three loops (D, anti-codon, and T loops). Lineage: Bacteria; Pseudomonadati; Bdellovibrionota; Bdellovibrionia; Bdellovibrionales. The record is from RNAcentral.
CUGCCCGUGGCGCAGCCCGGUAGCGCGCAACCUUGGGGUGGUUGAGGUCGCAAGUUCAAAUCUUGUCGGGCAGACCA